AUUUAGACCAAGAUUUGUGCUGUUCCAAAACUGGUUUGACAAAUGUUUGUUUACCAGUUCGGAUGUUUCUCGCUGAAGCAGUCACCGUCUUUAAUUCCUACUCAUUUGAGAUCUGAUUGGGGAAUUCGUGUUCCGGGAGGACCAGCGAGGCGGCG
Molecule: long non-coding RNA, 155 nt
Organism: Aedes aegypti (yellow fever mosquito)
Lineage: Eukaryota; Metazoa; Arthropoda; Insecta; Diptera; Culicidae
Exons: 2
Source: RefSeq, a predicted model, not a curated record